GUGAUGAAAAUAAAAAUAGAAAACAGGAAGAGAAAUACGCAGAUGCAGAGCUCUCUUCAUCUACAUGGGUGGAGGAGCUUGAGCUUCUCUUCAUCUUCGUACCAGCUGAGCCAAGAUUCGUCUUCGUAACUGAACUUUGUGGAGCUUGUCGUUGGUGGGUUCUUCCACAUUUAAGCCAAGAAAAUUUUGGAACAGAUCUGUGCAUAAUCAAUCUGCUGCAUUUCCUCUCUCUCUCUCUCUCUCUCUCUCUCUCUCUCCGUCGGCUCUUAUUGGGAUUGUCACCAUGGGAAAAGUGGAAGAACACACAUCUGCCCCAACACCAUCUAGCUCAAAUCCACAACCCAGGACAUACCAAUAACUUGUCAAAACUUCACAAAUUACAUGUACGGUUACAUUGACCAGUGCCUGCGUGAUCACCGCUUUUUGUGCUAAAUCUAGAUGGCAACCUAUAUCCAAGCAACAUCCAGAUGAUGCAACUCUACUGCUAUUUUUUUUAUAAGCUUGCAUUUUUUGUACUCCCAUUACCCGAUGAAAAUUAGAAGCGUUUUUUUAUUUUUUUGUUAGCAAUGGAAUUAUUUGAAAAUUUAAUUGCAGAUUUUUUGUACUUUAAGAAAAAUGUUGGUUACCCAUUUCAAUAUGGAAUGGGACAUUCGACUCCUCUCAUCACUACAAGUGCAAGAGUCGAUAAAGAGGUUACACACGAUUGUAAGAAAACUGAAGCGUCACAUACCUCAUCUAGAGUUGUUGAAGAAAGUAAAGUGGAUAGAUCAGAUUCUAGAAAAAUCGACAAUUGCAGUGCCGAGACAUCUCAGAUGGUACAAAUGAAUGUGGGUGAUAUGAUUGAGGAGUCAAAGUCAGGGAUUCAGUUUAAAUUUUUUGAAUAAUUAAUGAGUUAUUAUAAGCGAUAUGUGGAUUUGGGGUGAUGACAUGAAAGAGUGAGAGAGGAGAGGAUGAGAGUGUUAGAUAUGUCGCCCUUGGUUCUGCCCGUGGUGGGAAGGCCUAGAAUAGGACGUUAAAUGUCGCCAAACCACGUACGACAAGAUAGACGGACUGUAAAGCAAAGAUAAUGGUCUUAAAAGUCGAGGGAAUGUUUUGGUUGACAACAGUUCAUAAUACCCAUAAUCACAACCUAAAUCCAAAGAAUUUCGAUUCUUUUGAUAUAAUAAAGAAGUGAGUGAGUUCAUAAAAAGAGUCCUACAUAUAAACGAAUUCGCUGACAUCCAAAUGAAUAAGAGCUUCGCCUCUCUUGUCGUUGGCAUGGGUGGAUUCUAAAACCUCCCAUUUUCAAAAAAGGAUUGUAGCAAUUACAUCGAUAAGGCACGACAUCUACAACGUGGGAAAUGUGAUGUUGGAGCGCUUCGAGAGUAUUUUUGUAGGAUGUAGUAAAAGAAUGACAGAUUUUUUGUACUGAUAGAUUUAGAUGACGACGUGAGAUUAAAUAAUGUUUUUUUGAUAGAUGUACGUAAUAGGGCAGUUUACCAAUAUUUUGGUGAUGUGGUAAUAUUUGACACCACAUACCUGAUGAAUAUAAAUGAGAUGCCAUUUACACCCUUUGUUGGUAUAAACCACCAUGGACAGUCAAUUCUUUUAGGAGCAGGGUUGAUUUCCAGCGAGAAUACAGAGACCUUUACAUGGUUAUUGUAGACCUGGUUGCAGUGUAUGGAUGGUAUAUCUUCAAAAACUAUUAUCACAGAUCAAGACAACAAUGAAAAAUGUAAUUGCUAUUGUCUUUCCAAAAAUCCGACAUAGAUUCUUCCUGUGGCAUAUACUAAAAGAAGUCACCAAGAAAAUUGGUUCCUAUGAUGCCUACAAAAGCGGGCUGAAAAAUCAGUUGAUAAACUAUAUGUAUGACACUCAAACUAUUGAAGAGUUUGAGAGUUAUUGGGAAGGGUUACUUAACACAUACAACUUGUAUGAGAAUGCCUUGUUGCAAAACUUAUACACUAAGCGUGGCCAUUGGGUACCGGUGUUUCUAAAAGAGUUUUUUUUGGGCUGUAAUGAGUACAACCCAACGAAGCAAGAGCACAAAUGCUUUCUUUGAUGGAUAUUUUCAUGCAAGGACAAAUUUGAAGGAGUUGAUGAAGAAAGUUGAGAAUGAGAAUGAAAAUGGUGCAGACUUCCACUUAUUUAAUGUCACAAUUUCCUGCAUAUCUAGAUCUCCAAUUGAAAAUAGAUUUCAAGAGUUGUACACAAACGCUAAAUUUAAGA
Molecule: long non-coding RNA, 2208 nt
Organism: Juglans regia (Persian walnut)
Lineage: Eukaryota; Viridiplantae; Streptophyta; Magnoliopsida; Fagales; Juglandaceae
Exons: 3
Source: RefSeq, a predicted model, not a curated record